RNAcentral lists this ribosomal RNA (799 nucleotides) under uncultured bacterium. Its description in RNAcentral is "bacterial SSU rRNA". It matches the Rfam family "Bacterial small subunit ribosomal RNA", at positions 8 to 796 of the family's 1533-position model. The record is from RNAcentral.
AGAGUUUGAUCAUGGCUCAGAGUGAACGCUGGCGGCAGGCCUAAUACAUGCAAGUCGAACGGCAGCACAGCAGAGCUUGCUCUGUGGGUGGCGAGUGGCGGACGGGUGAGGAAUACGUGGGAAUCUGCCCAGUCGUGGGGGAUAACGUAGGGAAACUUACGCUAAUACCGCAUGCGCCCUUCGGGGGAAAGCCGGGGAUCUUCGGACCUGGCGCGAUUGGAUGAGCCCACGUCGGAUUAGCUAGUUGGGGGGGUAAAGGCCCACCAAGGCGACGAUCCGUAGCUGGUCUGAGAGGAUGAUCAGCCACACUGGAACUGAGACACGGUCCAGACUCCUACGGGAGGCAGCAGUAGGGAAUAUUGGACAAUGGGCGCAAGCCUGAUCCAGCCAUGCCGCGUGUGUGAAGAAGGCCUUCGGGUUGUAAAGCACUUUUAUCCGGAAAGAAAAGCGCUGGGUUAAUACCCUGGUGUCCUGACGGUACCGGAAGAAUAAGCACCGGCUAACUUCGUGCCAGCAGCCGCGGUAAUACGAAGGGUGCAAGCGUUACUCGGAAUUACUGGGCGUAAAGCGUGCGUAGGUGGUUUGUUAAGUCUGAUGUGAAAGCCCUGGGCUCAACCUGGGAAUUGCAUUGGAUACUGGCAGGCUAGAGUGCGGUAGAGGGUAGUGGAAUUCCCGGUGUAGCAGUGAAAUGCGUAGAGAUCGGGAGGAACACCAGUGGCGAAGGCGACUACCUGGACCAGCACUGACACUGAGGCACGAAAGCGUGGGGAGCAAACAGGAUUAGAUACCCUAGUAGUCC